UACGUAGGGGGCAAGCGUUAUCCGGAGUGACUGGGUGUAAAGAGUUGCGUAGGUGGCAUAAUAAGUAGCUAGUGAAAUCUGGUGGCUCAACCAUUCAGACUAUUAGCUAAACUGUUAAGCUCGAGACCGUUAGGGGUAACUGGAAUUUCUAGUGUAGGGUUGAAAUCCGUAGAUAUUAGAAGGAACACCAAUAGCGUAGGCAGGUUACUGGGACGGUUCUGACACUAAGGCACGAAAGCGUAGGGAGCAAACGGG
Molecule: ribosomal RNA, 255 nt
Filed under: uncultured bacterium
Lineage: Bacteria
Description: partial 16S ribosomal RNA
Rfam family: Bacterial small subunit ribosomal RNA
Source: RNAcentral